UCCCCGAUAGUCUAGUGGUGAGGAUAUCUGCUUGUCAUUGAAAACAUCAAUAAUUCGCAGGGGACCGGGGUUCAAUUCCCCGUCGAGGAG
Non-coding RNA from Colletotrichum phormii, 90 nucleotides. The record is from the annotation of a RefSeq genome assembly. Lineage: Eukaryota; Fungi; Ascomycota; Sordariomycetes; Glomerellales; Glomerellaceae.